CCUACGGGGGGCAGCAGUAGGGAAUAUUGCUCAAUGGGGGAAACCCUGAAGCAGCAAAGCCGCGUGGAGGAUGAAGGUUUUAGGAUUGUAAACUCCUUUUGUUAGAGAAGCUUAUGACGGUAUCUAACGCAUAAGCACCGGCUAACUCCGUGGCAGCAGCCGCGGUAAUACGGAGGAUGCGAGCGUUAUCCGGAUUUAUUGGGUUGAAGGUGUGCGCAGGCGGAGGUUGAAGUCAGCGGUCAUAUUGCGGGGCUCAACCCCGUACUGCCGUUGAAACGGCAUCCCUUGAGUGCGCGAGAAGUAUGCGGAAUGCGUGGUGUAGCGGUGAAAUGCAUAGAUAUCACGCAGAACUCCGAUUGCGAAGGCAGCAUACCGGCGCGCAACUGACGCUCAUGCACGAAAGCGUGGGUAUCGAACAGGAUUAGAUACCCCGGUAGUC
Molecule: ribosomal RNA, 439 nt
Filed under: uncultured bacterium
Lineage: Bacteria
Description: partial 16S ribosomal RNA
Rfam family: Bacterial small subunit ribosomal RNA
Source: RNAcentral